AUAAAGCAACUUUUGGCUUGUGUUUCUCUAAAACUCGAAAUAUUUCACCAAUUCUUUUAUUAGUAUUGACAAGUCUUGGAGUUUACUUUGAAUCAAAAUGGCUGGAAAUAUGACAGGAAUACUCUCCAAAACCAGGCUUUCCUUUUGUCUCAUUUCCAGAAAUGUAGGCUAAGGCGUACGAUCCGGCCUUUCCCUGGAUUCCGUGCAUAGCGAGAACUUAGUGCACGGAGAGGGUAUGGUGCAGCAGUAUCACAAGCAGAAACAGAGUCUACAAAAAGGACUUUAAAGAGUAAAGGAAAACAAGAGGAAGAGAAGGCAACUUCAGAGUCAUUAUCAUGGGUACCAGACUCCAUUACUGGAUAUUACAAGCCUUCGGGUCAGACUAAUGGGCCUUCGGGUCAGAUUAGUGGGCCUACAGGUCCAAGACAAGAGGAGUAAACAAUGAAUGAUACAACAAUCCAAAAGAAAAUUAUUGCUUAUCAAUAAUAAUGAAAGAAGAAAGUGGUUGGCAAUGACCCUUUUGUCUAACAGUAUUGAUUAUGUGUUUAUAUCAAAUCUAAAUAUUUAUAUAUAUAUGUUUAGUAUGUAAAAGAUUGGAGGGGAGCCUUGGAGCGACGGUCAAGUUAUCUCCGUAUGACCUAUAGGUCACGGGUUUGAGCCGUGGAAUCAGACACCGAUGCUUGCAUCCUACAUCACACCCCUUAAGGUGCGGCCCUUUCCUAAACCCUGCGUGAACGCAUGAUACUUUGUGCACUAGGCUGCCCUCUUUAGGAUGUAAAGAUUGAUGAUCGUCACUAGUCACUUUCAGAUGCUUUUAUUUUUGUUAUGUUUUGUUUUUGGUAUUUUAAUUCUAAUUGAUGAAUCGGAUUUGAUUUUGAGAUAAUUGUUUUAAGUUUGUUAUUGAGAGAAUUUGUCUUGAAUA
This is an RNA transcript of Nicotiana tabacum (common tobacco), 922 nucleotides long. RefSeq lists it as uncharacterized. Lineage: Eukaryota; Viridiplantae; Streptophyta; Magnoliopsida; Solanales; Solanaceae. The record is from RefSeq and is a predicted model, not a curated record.